UACGUAGGGGGCAAGCGUUGUCCGGAAUCAUUGGGCGUAAAGAGCGUGUAGGUGGCUCGGUAAGUCCGCUGUGAAAGUCCAGGGCUCAACCCUGGAAUGCCGGUGGAAACUGUCGAGCUAGAGUCCGGAAGAGGCGAGUGGAAUUCCUGGUGUAGCGGUGAAAUGCGCAGAUAUCAGGAGGAACACCAAUGGCGAAGGCAGCUCUCUGGGACGGUACUGACGCUGAGACGCGAAAGCGUGGGGAGCGAACAGG
Molecule: ribosomal RNA, 253 nt
Filed under: uncultured bacterium
Lineage: Bacteria
Description: partial 16S ribosomal RNA
Rfam family: Bacterial small subunit ribosomal RNA
Source: RNAcentral